UCCUACGGGAGGCAGCAGUGAGGAAUAUUGCACAAUGGAGGAAACUCUGAUGCAGCCAUGCCGCGUGUAUGAUGAAGGCCCUAGGGUUGUAAAGUACUUUUAGUAGGGAAGAUAAUGACGGUACCUACAGAAAAAGCCCCGGCUAACUUCGUGCCAGCAGCCGCGGUAAUACGAAGGGGGCGAGCGUUAUUCGGAAUCACUGGGCGUAAAGCGCGCGUAGGCGGACUGGAAAGUCAGGGGUGAAAUCCCGAGGCUCAACCUCGGAACUGCCCUUGAAACUAUCAGUCUAGAAUCUGUUAGAGGGUGGUGGAAUUCCUAGUGUAGAAGUGAAAUUCGUAGAUAUUAGGAGGAACACCAGUGGCGAAGGCGACCACCUGGGACAGUAUUGACGCUAAGGUGCGAAAGCGUGGGGAGCAAACGGGAUUAGAUACCCCGGUAGUCCACGCCGUAAACGAUGUGUGUUAAGUGUCGGCUCUUCAAAGUUGAUUUUUAGGUCAAUUUUGACGAGUCGGUGCUACGGCUAACGCGUUAAACACACCGCCUGGGGAGUACGGCCGCAAGGCUAAAACUCAAAUGAAUUGACGG
This 585-nucleotide ribosomal RNA is filed under the name uncultured bacterium. RNAcentral describes it as "bacterial SSU rRNA". It matches the Rfam family "Bacterial small subunit ribosomal RNA", at positions 337 to 916 of the family's 1533-position model. The record is from RNAcentral.